AUUGAACGCUGGCGGCAGGCCUAACACAUGCAAGUCGAGCGGAGCGGCGGACGGGGGAGUAAUGCCUAGGAAUCUGCCUGGUAGUGGGGGAUAACGUCCGGAAACGGGCGCUAAUACCGCAUACUAUCAGAUGAGCCUAGGUCGGAUUAGCUAGUUGGUGGGGUAAAGGCCUACCAAGGCGACGAUCCGUAACUGGUCUGAGAGGAUGAUCAGUCACACUGGAACUGAGUCACUGUCCAGACUCCUACGGGUGACUGCAGUGGGGAAUAUUGGACAAUGGGCGAAAGCCUGAUCCAGCCAUGCCGCGUGUGUGAAGAAGGUCUUCGGAUUGUAAGGCACUUUCUGUUGGGGGGCAUUGCCAACAAAAUAAGCACCGGCUAACUUCGUGCCAGCCGCCGCGGUAAUUC
This 407-nucleotide ribosomal RNA is filed under the name uncultured bacterium. Its description in RNAcentral is "partial 16S ribosomal RNA". It matches the Rfam family "Bacterial small subunit ribosomal RNA", at positions 30 to 526 of the family's 1533-position model. The record is from RNAcentral.